Molecule: long non-coding RNA, 695 nt
Organism: Coregonus clupeaformis (lake whitefish)
Lineage: Eukaryota; Metazoa; Chordata; Actinopteri; Salmoniformes; Salmonidae
Exons: 2
Source: RefSeq, a predicted model, not a curated record
GGUUAGACCCCGGCAGGCCAGGUUAGACCCAGGCAGGCCAGGAUAGAGCCCGGCAGGCCAGGAUAGAGCCAGGCAGGCCAGGUUAGAGCCAGGAUAGACCCAGGCAGGCCAGGAUAGACCCAGGCAGGCCAGGAUAGACCCAGGCAGGCCAGCUUAGACCCAGUCAGGCCAGGAUAGAGCCAGGCAGGCCAGCUUAGACCCAGGCCAGGUCUCUGUCCUCUGUCUAUGCCUAGAACGUCUAGCACCGAGAGACGUCUUCAUAUCUGGAACACCAGUGCAAUAACUACAAAGAGGAAAAACAAAGCGGAAUAUUCUAAACUUGUAUAUUAUUAUUUCUAAAAUAUUGUAGACUGAAUAUUCACACUUAAAAUGAAGACUUGUUCCCUUUUCAAAAUGUGUUAAGCUUUUUAUUUGCUAGAGCUUGGUUCUUUCUGUACAUUCCGAUAGCACUAUUUCUUGGCGAGCGGUGGGACUGUAGGAUGCUAUAGGUUGGCUGUACGUGCAGACGGAGGGAGGGAGCGUUCUAUGCCAUGAUGACAUCACAUUAUUCUAUAGGUUCCAUGUGUUCUCACGGUUGCCGUCAUUACCUCCUCCCUGUAUAAAUAAAGUUUUGGGUGGUUGAAGCUCUGUUAUUGUUGAUAAUGACCAGCUGUAAAUUAAAUGUAUUCUGUCUUUCUGGCAGCGCUUCCCUACUA